UUUCUUUUUCUCUCUCUUCCAUUUUCUUUGAAAACUUUCUCUCUCCUCUCUCUCUUCUUUAGCAUUCUGCACUCUCUCUCUCCUUCUUUGGGUUAGAUUUACAUGGAGGGAGUAGAGACCUUCGAACCUCCAUGAUCAAGAUAAGUUUGAUUGUUCUUAUUUUUUCUUUAUUUUCUACCAAUUUUUUGUUGAUUCAAGCCAUUUUAAACUUGUUUGGAUUAUGUUUAUUAAGGUCUGCGUGGGUUUGAAGUGAGUCAACCCACUGAAUUGGGUCUGGGGCUCAACCCAUGAGUGAGCUGAGACAUUUGACUUUGGGCCUGGGGUGAUUUGGGCCCAACCCAUGCGUGGGCUAUUUGAUUUUGGGCUUGGUUUUUUUGUUUUGAAAACAGUGGCCUUAUUUUUCAAAAAAAAAAGGGCUUGGGCAGGUCUUUGAAAAAACAGUGGGCUUAUUUAAAAAAAUGGGCUUGGGCUGGUUUUUUUUUUUUCUUUUUUUUAAAAGUGGGCUUAUUUUUUAAAAAUGGGCUUGGUUAACGAGUCCAUGGAUUGGAUCUGGACCCAUGGGUUAGGUCAACCCGAGUUCAAUGGAUCGGGUUAAUGGACGAGGUCAAACAGGUCAGAUCCACCAAUCGGAUCCGAACCCUCGGUUCAUUUUUAAAAGUGGAUUAAACAUGAUAAAUAGAAUAAAAACAAAACAAAAAUACAAAAAUGUAACACCAACCUUUGGCUCUCAACUCCUUCAAUCUUCAGAAUCUCCUCUAAUAUAUAUAUUUGCAAUUUCCUGCUCUGACUUCAAAAUUCCCUUAAAAGCCUCUGGCCCCAAGUAACUUUUACCGUAUGAAUGUUACAGUAUCAAUCAAUCGUUGUUUCUCACUGUAUGAAAUUUCUCUUUGCCUCUCACUAUGUGCGAAUUUCUCUGAGUAUCUUCUCACUACUUAUGUUAUUACUGCUUUCCCUUUGCUCCUUUAGAAAGCCUUAAUUUAUAGGCUUGGGGAGCAUUGAUUGUAAACAUCUGAAAUCAAAUCUUCAACCACCUAUUACUGCUAAUCUCCCUCUAUUAACUCCCCUUUAUUUACUUUUAACAGCUAACCAAUUUUCUUUGUGUGUGCAGGUGCCAACAAUGUUUUGGAGAAUUGAAACUCCUAUCUUCCCCCCUUUUCUUUGUAUUUAUUUUUUGUUUUGCUGUAUUUCAGAAUUUUUCCUAUAUUUCCCUUUUGUUUUAUUCUCUCUCUUUUUUUUUUUUGUAUUUUUUUCUACUGUAUUCAUCUUUAAUUUGUAUUCUUUUGCUAUAUUUGUAUAAAAAGUGUAAUAAUAAAAAAUGUAUUCUCUUGUUA
This is a long non-coding RNA of Malania oleifera, 1331 nucleotides long. RefSeq lists it as uncharacterized. Lineage: Eukaryota; Viridiplantae; Streptophyta; Magnoliopsida; Santalales; Ximeniaceae. The transcript is spliced from 2 exons. The record is from RefSeq and is a predicted model, not a curated record.